GGGCCCGCACAAGCGGUGGAGUAUGUGGUUUAAUUCGAUGCAACGCGAAGAACCUUACCAGGGUUUGACAUCCUGCGAAUUUCUGAGAAACCGGAAAGUGCCUUCGGGAGCGCAGUGACAGGUGGUGCAUGGCUGUCGUCAGCUCGUGUCGUGAGAUGUUGGGUUAAGUCCCGCAACGAGCGCAACCCACGUCUUUAGUUGCCAGCAUUUAGUUGGGCACUCUAGAGAGACCGCCGGUGAUAAACCGGAGGAAGGUGUGGAUGACGUCAAGUCAUCAUGCCCCUUACAUCCUGGGCUACACACGUGCUACAAUGGUAGUGACAAUGGGUUAAUCCCAAAAAGCUAUCUCAGUUCGGAUUGUCGUCUGCAACUCGACGGCAUG
This 382-nucleotide ribosomal RNA is filed under the name uncultured bacterium. RNAcentral describes it as "bacterial SSU rRNA". It matches the Rfam family "Bacterial small subunit ribosomal RNA", at positions 917 to 1322 of the family's 1533-position model. The record is from RNAcentral.